RNA transcript from Leptopilina boulardi, 1411 nucleotides. RefSeq lists it as uncharacterized. The record is from RefSeq and is a predicted model, not a curated record. The transcript is spliced from 3 exons. NCBI's taxonomy places the organism in Eukaryota, Metazoa, Arthropoda, Insecta, Hymenoptera, Figitidae.
UUAAUUAAAGGUCUCUCACGAUAAAACAUUAAGAAAUUUUCAACAAUAAUUUAAUAAUAAUAAUAGUUAAGUUUUAUAAAUUAAAUUAUUUGAAUUUUAAAUUUUCACAUUAAAAUUUGACAUAAUUUAUUUUUAAAUGAAUUUUUACAUAACUAAAUUUUUAAAGCUAUCGAAUUUGUAUUUGACAGAAUUUAUAUUUUACUGUCAUUUUGUUACUCUCCAUUGUAACUCUCCAUAGUGUUCUUGGUUUUAAAAUAAAGGUGAAAUAAUGAAGAAUAUUUUACUUCUUAUUAAAAGAAACUCAAAAAUCGGUCCCGUUCGAGUAAAAACGAUUCAAAAAAAUUAUUAAACUUUUUUUGGGUUAAAAUUCAAAAACAAUUUUUCAACUAUGUAACACUUCGAAAAUGUAUAUUUUAAACAAUAACAUAUUAAAAUUGUAUCGAGAUUCGAUUAAUUGUUUCAGAAAUAUUUAUGUUUAAAAAAUAAUUGUCAAAAAAUUUAAUAUGGCGUAACUUUUACAAUUUUGAAAAUUUUUUAAAAUCAUUCGGGACUUUCAUUUCUUAUAUUCAAUACUACAAUUUCACAAAAUUACAGACGAAUCCAAAAACGCCUAGCAAAUCGUGAUAUUUCUGACGGAGUGUUACCCUUAAUUUAUUUUUAUUUUUCUCACCACUUGAUUUUUUAAAAAAUUUAAAAAAAAGUAUUAAAUGUCAAUUAUUAUUUAUCAAUGUAUUAGUUAAAAGAAAAAAAAAAAUUUUAUGCGAUCUUCACGACUUCACGAUUACAAGACAAAGAAAAAUGUCGCACAAUUCAUGUGUUUGCAUAUGCAUACACGGACUAACCGUGUAUGAUAAUUGUGCUUGUAAGACGAAGAUGACGACCAAUGGGAUAUAAUGGGAUUCUGUGACAUAACUUGGAGAUAUUAUCGUUUAGAGAUUACUUAUAUAGAAUAUAAAUACAUCUGUUUAUAAAAAAAAAAAUUACAAAUUUCAACUACCAAUUCAGGCAUCAAUCUCAUCACAAUUUUUUAUUCGGAUACCUACAUUGCAAGCAAUCCCGAAAUUUUCACUGUCCUGGACGUGCGAAAAUCGAUCGCUUUGGUGAAUUCUCAUUAACAAAAGAUCAUGAUCAUGAACCAAAUGCAAGAGAUGAAGGGGAAAGAGUUUUCCGUCACGAAUUAUUUAAUGCAGUAACAUCACAAUCGGACAGAAAUGACGAUAUUCAUGAGCGGAUUGGUGAAUUUCCCGCAUUUAUAUAGACCACGAGCGUACUGUAGGUGAUCAAUUAGAGAAAGUAGUCCAAUCAUCCAAUAUUUAUUCAAAAACGAAAUUGAAAGAAUUGAAAACCUAUUGGUCUGAUUUAGCUGAUGGAAAAAUCACAAUUUUAGAAUUUUUAAAAUUGAUGAGUAUAU